Molecule: ribosomal RNA, 235 nt
Filed under: uncultured Lactobacillus sp.
Lineage: Bacteria; Bacillati; Bacillota; Bacilli; Lactobacillales; Lactobacillaceae
Description: partial 16S ribosomal RNA
Rfam family: Bacterial small subunit ribosomal RNA
Source: RNAcentral
UGCCCAAGAGAUCGGGAUAACACCUGGAAACAGAUGCUAAUACCGGAUAACAACAGAUGAUGCCUAUCAACUGUUUAAAAGAUGGUUCUGCUAUCACUCUUGGAUGGACCUGCGGUGCAUUAGCUAGUUGGUAAGGCAACGGCUUACCAAGGCAAUGAUGCAUAGCCGAGUUGAGAGACUGAUCGGCCACAUUGGGACUGAGACACGGCCCAAACUCCUACGGGAGGCAGCAGCC